RNAcentral lists this ribosomal RNA (110 nucleotides) under uncultured bacterium. RNAcentral describes it as "partial 16S ribosomal RNA". It matches the Rfam family "Bacterial small subunit ribosomal RNA", at positions 1373 to 1482 of the family's 1533-position model. The record is from RNAcentral.
CCCGGGCCUUGUACACACCGCCCGUCACACCAUGGGGGUGGGUUGCACCAGAAGUAGCUAGUCUAACCUUCGGGGGGACGGUUACCACGGUGUGAUUCAUGACUGGGGUG